GAUGAACGCUAGCUACAGGCUUAACACAUGCAAGUCGAGGGGAAACGACAUCGAAAGCUUGCUUUUGAUGGGCGUCGACCGGCGCACGGGUGAGUAACGCGUAUCCAACCUGCCCAUCACUUGGGAAUAACCUUGCGAAAGUAAGACUAAUACCCAAUGAUAUCCCACGAAGGCAUCGGAAUGGGAUUAAAGAUUUAUCGGUGAUGGAUGGGGGUGCGUCUGAUUAGCUUGUUGGCGGGGUAACGGCCCACCAAGGCAACGAUCAGUAGGGGUUCUGAGAGGAAGGUCCCCCACAUUGGAACUGAGACACGGUCCAAACUCCUACGGGAGGCAGCAGUGAGGAAUAUUGGUCAAUGGGCGAGAGCCUGAACCAGCCAAGUAGCGUGCAGGAAGACGGCCCUAUGGGUUGUAAACUGCUUUUAUAAGGGAAUAAAGUGGGUCACGUGUGACUUUUUGCAUGUACCUUAUGAAUAAGGACCGGCUAAUUCCGUG
RNAcentral lists this ribosomal RNA (492 nucleotides) under uncultured bacterium. Its description in RNAcentral is "partial 16S ribosomal RNA". It matches the Rfam family "Bacterial small subunit ribosomal RNA", at positions 28 to 507 of the family's 1533-position model. The record is from RNAcentral.